Molecule: ribosomal RNA, 379 nt
Filed under: Clostridium sp. MD294
Lineage: Bacteria; Bacillati; Bacillota; Clostridia; Eubacteriales; Clostridiaceae
Description: bacterial SSU rRNA
Rfam family: Bacterial small subunit ribosomal RNA
Source: RNAcentral
UUAAUAUAAGAGUUUGAUCCUGGCUCAGGAUGAACGCUGGCGGCGUGCUUAACACAUGCAAGUCGAGCGAAAAUAAUURRGAGCUUGCUUUUAAUUAUUUUAGCGGCGGACGGGUGAGUAACGUGUGGGCAACCUGCCUUUUACUGUGGAAUAAUCACUGGAAACGGUGACUAAUACCGCAUACGGUUCUUAGGAGGCAUCUUCUAAGAAAGAAAGGAUUUAUUCGGUAAAAGAUGGGCCCGCAUCUGAUUAGCUAGUUGGUGAGAUAAUAGCCCACCAAGGCAACGAUCAGUAGCCGACCUGAGAGGGUGACCGGCCACAUUGGGACUGAGACACGGCCCAAACUCCUACGGGAGGCAGCAGUGGGGAAUAUUGCACA